This 773-nucleotide ribosomal RNA is filed under the name Carnobacterium divergens. RNAcentral describes it as "bacterial SSU rRNA". It matches the Rfam family "Bacterial small subunit ribosomal RNA", at positions 28 to 778 of the family's 1533-position model. The record is from RNAcentral. Lineage: Bacteria; Bacillati; Bacillota; Bacilli; Lactobacillales; Carnobacteriaceae.
GACGAACGCUGGCGGCAUGCCUAAUACAUGCAAGUCGAACGCACGAAGUUGAAAAGCUUGCUUUUCGACCAAGUGAGUGGCGGACGGGUGAGUAACACGUGGGUAACCUGCCCAUAAGAGGGGGAUAACAUUCGGAAACGGAUGCUAAUACCGCAUAUUUCAAGUGACCGCAUGGUCGCUUGAUGAAAGGUGGCUUCGGCUACCGCUUAUGGAUGGACCCGCGGUGCAUUAGUUAGUUGGUGAGGUAAUGGCUCACCAAGACCAUGAUGCAUAGCCGACCUGAGAGGGUGAUCGGCCACACUGGGACUGAGACACGGCCCAGACUCCUACGGGAGGCAGCAGUAGGGAAUCUUCCGCAAUGGACGAAAGUCUGACGGAGCAAUGCCGCGUGAGUGAAGAAGGUUUUCGGAUCGUAAAACUCUGUUGUUAGAGAAGAACAAGGAUGAGAGUAACUGCUCAUCCCCUGACGGUAUCUAACCAGAAAGCCACGGCUAACUACGUGCCAGCAGCCGCGGUAAUACGUAGGUGGCAAGCGUUGUCCGGAUUUAUUGGGCGUAAAGCGAGCGCAGGCGGUUCUUUAAGUCUGAUGUGAAAGCCCCCGGCUCAACCGGGGAGGGUCAUUGGAAACUGGAGAACUUGAGUGCAGAAGAGGAGAGUGGAAUUCCAUGUGUAGCGGUGAAAUGCGUAGAUAUAUGGAGGAACACCAGUGGCGAAGGCGACUCUCUGGUCUGUAACUGACGCUGAGGCUCGAAAGCGUGGGGAGCAAACAGGAU